Non-coding RNA from Ignavibacteria bacterium 13_1_40CM_2_61_4, 71 nucleotides. The record is from Rfam. Lineage: Bacteria; Pseudomonadati; Ignavibacteriota; Ignavibacteria.
UGCCGGGUCGUCUAAUGGCAGGACAGCGGCCUUUGGAGCCGUCAGUGGAGGUUCGAAUCCUCCCCCGGCAG